AUUUGUUUUCGUUUUGCAUCAAACGAUUAUUGUGUCACUCAUGAAAGAGACACCGUUGGUUACUCAAAUAAGAGAAAGAGAUUGAAGGUGAUAUAUUAUUGUGUUGCUCAUGAAAGAAGCAUGGUUUGGUGGUUCAAAUAAGGGAAAGAGAUUGACGGUGACACAAAUGACCAAAGUUUGCAUUCUGAAAACAUAUAUGUUUUUUAUCAUUUACUCUAGUGCCUUCCUACUGAGUAUUACUUGUAGUACUCACCCCUCCCCCACUAUAAUCUCACAGGUUGAUUCGAGACAUGGUGGCGGUUUGGCAUAGUGGCAAGUGCUCGGUGAUUUGAAAAGCUUGGACUUUCUAGUAAAAUUUCCAAUUCAUGUAAAUCUAUUAUGAAUGACUAGAUGGCACUUUUAGAAGUAUUUAAACAUCUAUUUCGUCCAGUAUUAUAUACAUUUCAUGUCAACCAUAAUUUGAAAAUGUUGGAAUGACUAUGCCUGAGG
Molecule: long non-coding RNA, 489 nt
Filed under: Olea europaea subsp. europaea
Lineage: Eukaryota; Viridiplantae; Streptophyta; Magnoliopsida; Lamiales; Oleaceae
Source: RNAcentral